This 375-nucleotide long non-coding RNA is filed under the name Gallus gallus (chicken). RNAcentral's name for it is "lncRNA (ENSGALG00010026776.1)". The record is from RNAcentral. Lineage: Eukaryota; Metazoa; Chordata; Aves; Galliformes; Phasianidae.
CAUACCUUACAGAGCCAAGCACCUUUCUUAUAGGAACACAGUGAGUCACCACCUCCUGGCACAAAACACCUCCUGCCCCAGGCCCUGCUCCUGAGGCCGCCUGGGACACUGGCAGUUUGUGGGCAAAUUGUGCACCUUAUUGUUUUUGACUCCUUUGUUACUCCCUUAUCGGCUUGCUACAGCUCCUCACACUGCUGUCUCUGUUCCCUACAACUGCAUCCUCCUAAUGGUACAAGGCUUCCUUCCUGCUCAAUUUGAGAUGAGAGAAAGCUGACAGCCAUUGAGACGGUGUGAGAAGCGAGCCUGCUCUCUCCUGCUCUGGCCGGAGCUCUCCCUGGAGGACCACAGAUUGGCAACAAGAAGUUUCCAAGCCCU